This 505-nucleotide ribosomal RNA is filed under the name uncultured bacterium. RNAcentral describes it as "partial 16S ribosomal RNA". It matches the Rfam family "Bacterial small subunit ribosomal RNA", at positions 28 to 507 of the family's 1533-position model. The record is from RNAcentral.
GACGAACGCUGGCGGCGUGCCUAAUACAUGCAAGUAGAACGCACAGUUUAUACCGUAGCUUGCUACACCAUAAACUGUGAGUUGCGAACGGGUGAGUAACGCGUAGGUAACCUGCCUGGUAGCGGGGGAUAACUAUUGGAAACGAUAGCUAAUACCGCAUAAUAUUAAUUAUUGCAUGAUAAUUGAUUGAAAGAUGCAAUUGCAUCACUACCAGAUGGACCUGCGUGGUAUUAGCUAGUAGGUGAGGUAACGGCUCACCUAGGCGACGAUACAUAGCAGACCUGAGAGGGUGAUCGGCCACACUGGGACUGAGACACGGCCCAGACUCCUACGGGAGGCAGCAGUAGGGAAUCUUCGGCAAUGGACGAAAGUCUGACCGAGCAACGCCGCGUGAGUGAAGAAGGUUUUCGGAUCGUAAAGCUCUGUUGUAAGAGAAGAACGGGUGUGAGAGUGGAAAGUUCACACUGUGACGGUAUCUUACCAGAAAGGGACGGCUAACUACGUG